Molecule: ribosomal RNA, 622 nt
Filed under: Streptomyces sp. D1406
Lineage: Bacteria; Bacillati; Actinomycetota; Actinomycetes; Kitasatosporales; Streptomycetaceae
Description: bacterial SSU rRNA
Rfam family: Bacterial small subunit ribosomal RNA
Source: RNAcentral
AGUCGAACGAUGAACCACUUCGGUGGGGAUUAGUGGCGAACGGGUGAGUAACACGUGGGUAAUCUGCCCUUCACUCUGGGACAAGCCCUGGAAACGGGGUCUAAUACCGGAUAUCACUUCCGCUCGCAUGGGUGGGGGUUGAAAGCUCCGGCGGUGAAGGAUGAGCCCGCGGCCUAUCAGCUUGUUGGUGAGGUAACGGCUCACCAAGGCGACGACGGGUAGCCGGCCUGAGAGGGCGACCGGCCACACUGGGACUGAGACACGGCCCAGACUCCUACGGGAGGCAGCAGUGGGGAAUAUUGCACAAUGGGCGAAAGCCUGAUGCAGCGACGCCGCGUGAGGGAUGACGGCCUUCGGGUUGUAAACCUCUUUCAGCAGGGAAGAAGCGAAAGUGACGGUACCUGCAGAAGAAGCGCCGGCUAACUACGUGCCAGCAGCCGCGGUAAUACGUAGGGCGCAAGCGUUGUCCGGAAUUAUUGGGCGUAAAGAGCUCGUAGGCGGCUUGUCACGUCGGGUGUGAAAGCCCGGGGCUUAACCCCGGGUCUGCAUUCGAUACGGGCUAGCUAGAGUGUGGUAGGGGAGAUCGGAAUUCCUGGUGUAGCGGUGAAAUGCGCAGAUAUCA